This 107-nucleotide small nuclear RNA is filed under the name Propithecus coquereli (Coquerel's sifaka). The record is from RNAcentral. Lineage: Eukaryota; Metazoa; Chordata; Mammalia; Primates; Indriidae.
GUGCUUGCUUCAGCAGCACAUAUACUAAAGUUGGAACAGUACAGAGAAGAUUAGCAUGGCUCCCAGGCAAGGAUGACACACAAAUUCAUGAAGUGUUCCAUAUUUAA